UAGGGAAUUUUGGGCAAUGGGGGAAACCCUGACCCAGCAACGCCGCGUGAAGGAUGAAGUAUUUCGGUAUGUAAACUUCGAAAGAAUAGGAAGAAUAAAUGACGGUACUAUUUAUAAGGUCCGGCUAACUACGUGCCAGCAGCCGCGGUAAUACGUAGGGACCAAGCGUUGUUCGGAUUUACUGGGCGUAAAGGGCGCGUAGGCGGUUCGGUAAGCCCUUUGUGAAAUCUCCAGGCUUAACCUGGAACAGUCGGAGGGGACUGCCGGGCUAGAGGACGGGAGAGGAGCGCGGAAUUCCCGGUGUAGCGGUGAAAUGCGUAGAGAUCGGGAGGAAGGCCGGUGGCGAAGGCGGCGCUCUGGAACGUUUCUGACGCUGAGGCUCGAAAGCGUGGGGAGCAAACAGGAUUAGAUACCCUUGUAGUCCCUGAGCGGGCUGGCAAGGCGCAU
Molecule: ribosomal RNA, 447 nt
Filed under: uncultured bacterium
Lineage: Bacteria
Description: bacterial SSU rRNA
Rfam family: Bacterial small subunit ribosomal RNA
Source: RNAcentral